AGCUUGCUUCUCUGGAUGAGUUGCGAACGGGUGAGUAACGCGUAGGUAACCUGCCUGGUAGCGGGGGAUAACUAUUGGAAACGAUAGCUAAUACCGCAUAAGAGCAGUUGUUGCAUGACAGCUGUUUAAAAGGUGCAAUUGCACCACUACCAGAUGGACCUGCGUUGUAUUAGCUAGUUGGUGAGGUAACGGCUCACCAAGGCGACGAUACAUAGCCGACCUGAGAGGGUGAUCGGCCACACUGGGACUGAGACACGGCCCAGACUCCUACGGGAGGCAGCAGUAGGGAAUCUUCGGCAAUGGGGGCAACCCUGACCGAGCAACGCCGCGUGAGUGAAGAAGGUUUUCGGAUCGUAAAGCUCUGUUGUAAGAGAAGAACGAGUGUGAGAGUGGAAAGUUCACGCUGUGACGGUAUCUUACCAGAAAGGGACGGCUAACUACGUGCCAGCAGCCGCAGUAAUACGUAGGUCCCGAGCGUUAUCCGGAUUUAUUGGGCGUAAAGCGAGCGCAGGCGGUUAGAUAAGUCUGAAGUUAAAGGCUGUGGCUUAACCAUAGUACGCUUUGGAAACUGUUUAACUUGGGUGCAAGAGGGGAGAGUGGAAUUCCAUGUGUAGCGGUGAAAUGCGUAGAUAUAUGGAGGAACACCGGUGGCGAAAGCGGCUCUCUGGCUUGUAACUGACGCUGAGGCUCGAAAGCGUGGGGAGCAAACAGGAUUAG
Molecule: ribosomal RNA, 717 nt
Filed under: uncultured Streptococcus sp.
Lineage: Bacteria; Bacillati; Bacillota; Bacilli; Lactobacillales; Streptococcaceae
Description: bacterial SSU rRNA
Rfam family: Bacterial small subunit ribosomal RNA
Source: RNAcentral